GGAUGUGAGGGCGAUCUGGCUGUGACAUCUGUCAACCCAUUGAUUGCCAGGGUUGAUUUGACUGAUCUGGCUGGCUAGGUGGGUGUCCCCUUCCUCCCUCACUGCUCCAUGUGCAUCCCUCCUGAAGCUGCAUACUUGGUUGAUGAGGAUGACCUUCCCUGAUAGAGGAGGACCCUUCUUCGGUUAAGCGUAUAUUAGUAGCUGUGCUCCCCAGCUAGAGUCUCCAAACAAGCUCUCGAGGUCCACUGAUAGGAGAACAUAGGGUAGUGUCAAGCUUCCAAGACUCCAGACACAUCCAAAUGAGGUCUGCAUGUGGCAGUCUGCCUUUAUUU
Panthera pardus (leopard) is the source of this 332-nucleotide unclassified non-coding RNA. Its record names the gene 7SK. It matches the Rfam family "7SK RNA". Rfam says of the family: 7SK was discovered as an abundant small nuclear RNA in the mid-70s but a possible function has only recently been suggested. Two independent studies have found that 7SK RNA binds the CDK9/cyclin T complex (known as elongation factor P-TEFb). P-TEFb activates transcription by phosphorylating the C-terminal domain of RNA polymerase II. The record is from Ensembl. Lineage: Eukaryota; Metazoa; Chordata; Mammalia; Carnivora; Felidae.